RNAcentral lists this long non-coding RNA (258 nucleotides) under Ananas comosus (pineapple). Its description in RNAcentral is "long non-coding RNA (ACOM_LNC005295)". Lineage: Eukaryota; Viridiplantae; Streptophyta; Magnoliopsida; Poales; Bromeliaceae. The record is from RNAcentral.
CACGGAACAAAGAAUUCCUGAUCAUCACUAGAAUCAGCAUCAAUUCGCCAUUGAUCCUCUUCAUCAGUUUCACUAACAUACUCCUCAUCACUUCGAAUUACGUCCUCAUUAUCAGUUGUAGUCACGUCCCGAUUGGUCUAUUCAUGAUGAGUAGAUGAUGGACCUUCAUUUUGAUAAGGAGGGAUAGUAUUUUCUUACUUCCCAAGCCGGCCAUUCAUGAACACUAGAUGAUGGACCUUCAUUUUAAUAAGAAAGGAU